NNNNNNAAAGAUUGACAGAUUGAUAGCUCUUUCUUGAUUCUAUGGGUGGUGGUGCGUGGCAGUUCGUAGUUGGUGGAGCGAUUUGUCUGGCUAAUUCCGUUAACGAACGAGACCCUAACCUGCUAAAUCGUUUCAUGUAACUACGACCUCGUUGAUGAAAGGCGGCCAAAUGCUCUGCUUGCAUCCAGAGGGCUGUCUGCAGAAGACUCAGCCCUGGGCUUCGUCAAAGACGGCCAGUUCGUGAUCUCCGCAGA
This 254-nucleotide non-coding RNA is filed under the name Symbiodinium microadriaticum. RNAcentral's name for it is "Eukaryotic small subunit ribosomal RNA". It matches the Rfam family "Eukaryotic small subunit ribosomal RNA", at positions 1229 to 1396 of the family's 1831-position model. Lineage: Eukaryota; Dinophyceae; Suessiales; Symbiodiniaceae. The record is from Rfam by way of RNAcentral.